RNAcentral lists this ribosomal RNA (796 nucleotides) under uncultured Pelagibacteraceae bacterium. RNAcentral's name for it is "bacterial SSU rRNA". It matches the Rfam family "Bacterial small subunit ribosomal RNA", at positions 45 to 889 of the family's 1533-position model. The record is from RNAcentral. Lineage: Bacteria; Pseudomonadati; Pseudomonadota; Alphaproteobacteria; Candidatus Pelagibacterales; Candidatus Pelagibacteraceae.
CGCCUAACACAUGCAAGUCGAACGAAGUAGCAAUACUUAGUGGCAGACGGGUGAGUAACAUGUAGGUAUCUGCCCUUUGGCCUGGAAUAACACGAGGAAACUUGUGCUAAUACCGGAUAAGUCUUUACGGAGAAAGCUUUAUGCACCAUUGGAUGAGCCUGCACUUGAUUAGUUUGUUGGUGGGGUAAUGGCCUACCAAGACUGUGAUCAAUAGCUGAUUUGAGAGGAUGAUCAGCCACAUUGGGACUGAGACACGGCCCAAACUCCUACGGGAGGCAGCAGUGGGGAAUCUUGCACAAUGGAGGAAACUCUGAUGCAGCGAUGCCGCGUGAGUGAAGAAGGCCCUUGGGUUGUAAAGCUCUUUCGUCGGGGAAGAAAAUGACUGUACCCGAAUAAGAAGGUCCGGCUAACUUCGUGCCAGCAGCCGCGGUAAUACGAAGGGACCUAGCGUAGUUCGGAAUUACUGGGCUUAAAGAGUUCGUAGGUGGUUGAAAAAGUUGGUGGUGAAAUCCCAGAGCUUAACUCUGGAACUGCCAUCAAAACUUUUCAGCUAGAGUAUGAUAGAGGAAAGCAGAAUUUCUAGUGUAGAGGUGAAAUUCGUAGAUAUUAGAAAGAAUACCAAUUGCGAAGGCAGCUUUCUGGAUCAUUACUGACACUGAGGAACGAAAGCAUGGGUAGCGAAGAGGAUUAGAUACCCUCGUAGUCCAUGCCGUAAACGAUGUGUGUUAGACGUUGGAAAUUUAUUUUCAGUGUCGCAGCGAAAGCGAUAAACACACCGCCUGGGGAGUACGACCGC